AUAUCUUUGCAGCACAAAGGUUCGCUUAAACGCGAUUAAAAAGGGAAUGAGGGUGUAAAUCCCCAACUGUCUCGCAGCUGUGAGUUCCUUUAUAGCCUACGAACAUUAAAUCCACUGUUCGGAAACGAAUGGGAAGGAGUUUGAAGGAGGAACAAAGUCAGAAGACCUGCCUUGAUAAGAAAGAACGG
This 188-nucleotide non-coding RNA is filed under the name Hoylesella marshii. RNAcentral also lists the same sequence under 1 other name. The record is from RNAcentral. Lineage: Bacteria; Pseudomonadati; Bacteroidota; Bacteroidia; Bacteroidales; Prevotellaceae.